RNAcentral lists this ribosomal RNA (38 nucleotides) under Wolffiella rotunda. RNAcentral describes it as "partial 26S ribosomal RNA". Lineage: Eukaryota; Viridiplantae; Streptophyta; Magnoliopsida; Alismatales; Araceae. The record is from RNAcentral.
CUCGGACCGCGACCCCAGGUCAGGCGGGACUACCCGCC